AGUGAACGCUGGCGGUAGGCCUAACACAUGCAAGUCGAACGGCAGCACAGGAGAGCUUGCUCUCUGGGUGGCGAGUGGCGGACGGGUGAGGAAUACAUCGGAAUCUACUCUGUCGUGGGGGGUAACGUAGGGAAACUUACGCUAAUACCGCAUACGACCUACGGGUGAAAGCAGGGGAUCUUCGGACCUUGCGCGAUUGAAUGAGCCGAUGUCGGAUUAGCUAGUUGGCGGGGUAAAGGCCCACCAAGGCGACGAUCCGUAGCUGGUCUGAGAGGAUGAUCAGCCACACUGGAACUGAGACACGGUCCAGACUCCUACGGGAGGCAGCAGUGGGGAAUAUUGGACAAUGGGCGCAAGCCUGAUCCAGCCAUACCGCGUGGGUGAAGAAGGCCUUCGGGUUGUAAAGCCCUUUUGUUGGGAAAGAAAUCCAGCUGGUUAAUACCCGGUUGGGAUGACGGUACCCAAAGAAUAAGCACCGGCUAACUUCGUGCCAGCAGCCGCGGUAAUACGAAGGGUGCAAGCGUUACUCGGAAUUACUGGGCGUAAAGCGUGCGUAGGUGGUUAUUUAAGUCCGUUGUGAAAGCCCUGGGCUCAACCUGGGAACUGCAGUGGAUACUGGAUGACUAGAAUGUGGUAGAGGGUAGCGGAAUUCCUGGUGUAGCAGUGAAAUGCGUAGAGAUCAGGAGGAACAUCCAUGGCGAAGGCAGCUACCUGGACCAACAUUGACACUGAGGCACGAAAGCGUGGGGGAGCAAACAGG
RNAcentral lists this ribosomal RNA (760 nucleotides) under uncultured Stenotrophomonas sp. RNAcentral's name for it is "bacterial SSU rRNA". It matches the Rfam family "Bacterial small subunit ribosomal RNA", at positions 28 to 776 of the family's 1533-position model. Lineage: Bacteria; Pseudomonadati; Pseudomonadota; Gammaproteobacteria; Lysobacterales; Lysobacteraceae. The record is from RNAcentral.